GUGGCAACCCGCUCCGGUGUCCUUCCAUGCUGUGGAGGCUCUGUUGUUUCGCUCUUUCUACUGCUUACUCUUCGGGUCCACACUGCUUUUAUGAGCUGUAACACUCACCCUGAAGGUUUGCAACUUGACUCCUGAAGCCAGCAAGACCACGAGCCCCAGGGAGGAACGAACAACUCCAGACGCGCUGCCUUAAGAGCUGUAACACUCACCGAGAAGGUCUGCAGCUUCACUCCUGAGCCAGCGAGGCCACGAACCCACCAGAAGGAAGAAACUCUGAACACAUCCGAACAUCAGAAGGAACAAACUCCAGACGUGCCACCUUAAGAGCUGUUAACACUCACCGCGAGGGUCCGCGGCUUCAUUUUUGAAGUCAGUGAGACCAAGAACCAACCAAUUCGGGACACAAUACCAACUCUUUCAUGCCAGGAGAAGCCUCCUUAAAAAAUUUCGGUGAUUAACAGGUAAAUAUCACUUACCACCUGUGCUAAACUUACCAGUUAUUACGUAUACUACAGGAUAUUCUGCUGAAAAUAUGGGCAAAUAUAGGUGUGUAAAAAGUCCCAGUAUUAGUGGGGUGGGGAACAGAGAAUCUAUGGCUGGUGAUCACACCUGAAGCUACUAUGUGCUUAUUCCUGCUGGCUGACGUUUGCUGUGUGGCAAGUGCCUCUGUUCCUAAACACCAUACUCUUCCUGAAAUCUCUAACAUGCUCACAUCCGAUUUCCAGGUAGAAGGAGUUAGGCAUGCAAGCAUCAUGAUUUUCUCAGCUAAGUGUUGACAUGUCCCUAAAGUCUUCAGACAAUUUUCUGUUCCUGUAAAUGUUCCUCACCUAUUACUCAUGACAACUGUCCUCCUUUCAUCCUCUUUAAGCUCUGCUCAAAGAAACCACUCAAAAGAAAUUUUCAUGAAAUCAACUCACCAGGCAGAGAGUACCAGAGUACGCUGUGAGCUGGAUCGGGGACAGCCUGUUUUGUCACCAUUGUUUCAUUAGCAUCUAGUAGAGUUCUCGGUGCAUAUGUGCUCUAGGCACACUUAAGAGAGAAAAAAGAAAUAUAUGCUCAGACCCUAUUACACACACUCAAAUAAAACAAAUUUCUUUAUUCAUUUUAAUAGUUUCUAAAUAUCAUUAUACUCUUCUAUUAGUAGGAUAAUCUUCAGAAAAUCAGAACUAAAAAGGCAUUAUUAGGAUUUAUUUUUAGAGUUUAUAGUAUGAGUGUUUUUUAAAUUUCUCAUUCUCGCUCCUUUGCUUUCUAUUUACUAUUUGUUGAGUAUUUAUUAUAUGUAAGAAAAACUAUACUAAGUGUUGUGGAUUUCAUAAAUUUAGUAUUUAAAUUUCCUGAAGAUUCCAAUAAAGGCUUUCUCUUUUCUUUGAACAAACACACUUAACCACCCCCUAAAAAUCCACUGAGUAGUGUUUAUACUGUCUUAAUCUUUUCAGAUGCUAAAAGCAACAUAUUCCUAAGCUGAGACAUUCUCUACAGUAAAACAUAAUUUUUCCCAAUUAUAAGAAAUUUAAGAGAUGUUAGGGAAGAAACUAUAAAGACGUAUUUUAUAUCCAGAAAAGCUAGAUGUUUUCCAUUUUAGUUGAUGUUAUAUAUUCUGGGCACAUUCCUGGACUGAAAAACAGAAGUAUACUACAUUUCUAAGACACAUUCCCCAAAACAGCUUUACAUAGAAGUUCCUGUGAUCCUAAUUACAACCCUAUCAAGUAGGUGGGUGGGUAUUAAUAGAUCACUUGGGGGUAUGAAAAUCAUAGUGCAGACAUACUGAAUGACUUCUCCAGCAUCAACAGGGAAGUAACAACAGCCUCUUUGGAAGGUAGCCCAGUACAAAGGAUUUGAGAGUCAUAAAACCUGGGUUUGAAACUGUGAUUUGGUGAAAUUACUUAAUAUAUCUCUCUCUCUCUCUUUCCCCAUAAAAAAGAAAUUAGGUUGAACCAUUUGAAAUUUCCAAUAUGCAACAUUUUCGACCUACAAAAAUGGCAAUUUCAUGAGGUUCAACCUCAUAAUAAUGUUAACACUUAAAAGAGUUGUUCUAAAUGUAAAACCCAAUACUAUAUUUAAAGCAUCUAGCACGGAGCCUGGAAUAGAGAAGUGCUAGACAAAUGCUAGUUCUUUUUGUCCUUCCAGUGUCAGUCCUACAGCAUCAGCACAAUUCUGUCACUCAUGUCUCAGCCAUUCCUUGUAAGAUUUUAGACAAUGUAAAAUACAUUAAGUGUAUUUUAUUUUAUAAUAUAUUCACUAAAAUAUCAAUACAUUUUGAAAUUUCAGGAGGUAAGAGAAAAACAAGCAGGUGUGUAAUUACUGCUGAUUUUGUAGCUUAAUUCAGCAGUGCAAAGAUUUUCCUGUCUACUUCCAAGCAGGGACAUACCUGUCUUGAGCUUACACAUUCACAGUAGUCUCAAAACCUAAACCAGGAGACUCUAGGCUUGCUUUUGGUUGCAGUUUAAUAAUACUGUGGAUUAGUAGCCAAACAUUUCUUUGAAACAUUCAGUAAGAGCUAGGCAAUACAGAUCUGGUGUCUGGGUCUUCCAGGAAACUGACAAUUUUAGGAAAGCCAUGGAGGGGGGGAAAAUGAAACAAGGUAAAGAGAAAGCUGUAAAAUGAAGUUGAUGCAGUACUGGACAAACCCAACACCCAAAAUUUUCAGUUUCCAUGUUCCUGCAUUGUCCCUACCUUCAUCCUUAAGAGUUUCAAGAGACCAAAUGAUCCAAAGAGCUAAGGACCCUGGAUCCAAGAAUACUGUUUUCCGUCUGGUAAGGACACAUUUUUUUUUUUUUAAUCUGUGAGCUCAACUUCCAAAGGGCAUUUAAAUCAAUGAGAAAAGAAACAGACUAUCCAGGGAAAUCAAUUCUAAUAAUCAAUCGGGUAACAAAGGUCUAGCCAUUUAUAUUCAUAAAAGUAAUUAGGAGUCUUGAGCGUUUAAGAACAUGAAUGUUUUUGUUAAAGGAAAUGUACAUUAAUUUUCAUAUUAAUUCAUCUAAAACACAGAUCUUGCUUUUGUUGAAAUUAUUUUCCCUCUUUCACUUUUUACCUCCUUUCUCCAUGAGCAUUCAUUCCUAUGGACUUGCUACAGUAUACUAGUCACAGAGCCAUCGGUCAUUAAAUAACUAUUUACUGAUUCUCCUACUUGUACUCACUAUUUUACAGGCCAGAUAAACAUUAAAGAAAACUUUUGUAAUGCUUCCUGAUGUCUUUUUUAUCCCCUUCCGUUAAACAAGAAUCUCAGGGUUUUAUAAGCUUGCAAUAUCCUCCAACAACGGUUGCCUAAUCAUCUGUUGCUAAAUCAAAGCUUGAUGAGAUGAGCAGAUAAAAAUACAAUCAGGGUGUGGUUAUAUUUCCCUCAGCAGAGGCCUCAUAUUGCACCACAUUUGAAGAAGUAAUAGACAGUGAUUUUGUAGGCUGUCUCAGGCUCAGCUCAUGUUCUGUUUGUGAUAAUUAGAACUUGUGAACCUCAAGAAUGAGCAAGAGUUCUUUUUGCUUACUUCUGCUGUCCACACAACCAAAGGUCUAUCUUCUUAUAUACGAAUAGCAAGGAGAGCGGCCUUUGGAGACUGUGUGAAGCCAAUCAAAUAGGAAAGGCUCAUUUAUAGCAUAGUUUUCAGCAUGCUUCUAAACUAGUAGCUGUUCAGAACCUGGAAGAAUAUGAAUCAAAUUGCAUAUUUUGAAUUGUACUAGUCUGAAUCGACUCAUUACUAUGAAUCUUGCAAAUGUUCCCUUAAGCAAUGAGGAAGGAGGAAAUAUAGAAAGUAAAUCUACUUAGUAAUAUAAAAGGCAAUACUAGCAAGGCCACACUCUCAAAGAAAUUAAUCGGUAAGUAUUGAUUUUUUACACUGUGUGAAGUUCCCAUCCAUGCAAACGACAACAAGGCCCUGUUGUUUGACAAACCAUUUAUUCAGGAUCAUUGGUAUCGACUUGUAGUGAGUCAACAAAAGUAGGGAGUUCACAUAUUUUUUCUUCAUUCAAUAGAAAAUACUGUGUCUCCUUGGCAACUGAGAUUGCUUGGUUGACUUUUCCCUUUGCUUUCUACUUACAAGGUACAAACAAUGAAGGAGUCCCACCACCUGUGACUUGGGUUCAGAAACAGAUUUCUCUGCCUCAAAUCACUGAAAUAACCCACUUUGUGUGAGGGCGCAAUUCUGUGCUUUAUUAGAUGUAUAUAGCAUCUUUAUGGUCAAGUCUCAGACAAAUGAUAAAAAGUAAUUCAAAUAUAGAAAGUAGUUUUUAAUGCCUGAGUUAUGAUUUCCUCAUUCGGAGGCUCCUGAAAUGCAAGUGAAUAAGAAUUAUCACUCUUAACUAGCAAACAAUACACUUUAUUUUCAAACAUAAUCAACUUAUGUAACGAAACAACUGAGUAAAAACAUAAACACUUUUUCCCCAUUAGGUAGAGUUUUCUCAGAACUCUGGAGUUGUGAAAAUGACCCUAAGCUCAAGCAAAGAGGUGUAGAGUUACAUCUCUCUUUCUACAUUGGCAUUGGUGAUUAAAAGAAAUCAGGAUGAGCAGAUGGUGCCUAAGGUACAAAUCUUGAAUAUCCACUUUUCUGGAGAUAGAAUAUCAAGUGCUGGUGUCGUCUCCCACCUCACCAUUGCUGCUUUUCUCCCACUUCAUUGAUCUAUCUCCUCCAUGUCAGGCCCAUGUGAGAGCUGAGGGCUUGGUUUCCUCUGAUAGAAAGAAGACAAAUACAGUUGACCUGGGGCUGUAGAACCAGAGGAUUUGCAAAGGCAUUAUUGCAAUCAAUAUCCAAUCACAUCAGUUUCCUUGUAUAUGUGCUACAGAGCAGUUCCCACUCUGUAGGUCUUUUGCUGGGUCACAAUUUGAUGUUUCAUCUUUAUACUCUAGGAAACAAGUGGACUCAUGAAUUUGAAGGGUUUUGUCUUCCUCUCUUAGAGUGGUCCUCUUACUCCUCUUCUCAUUGGCCCCUAAUUUUAUUCCACCUGUGGAGACACUCCAGAAUCAAGCCUCGGGUUAUACUGGGUAGCUGACUGUGCAGAUAGGACAAAUCAUGAUUUGUAAUCUUCCUUCACUGGUACCCUGCUCAAAUACCAACACUCGUGUGCUUCCUAUUGUUGAAGGUUUCACUCUGUAAUACUAAGGGCAGUAUUUGCUCCUGUACUAGGUUCAACAGUGUCCUUCAAAAAUUCAUGUGCACCCUAAACCUCAGAAUGGGAUCUUAUUUGGAAAUAAGAGUCUUUGUGUAUGCAGUUAGUUAAAUAUAAGUUUACUCUGGAUUAGAGUCAACCUAUUAAGGACCUUAUAAGAGGAGAGGACACACAGAGACAUAGAAAAGAAAACAGUGUGACAACUGAGACAGAGACUGGAGUGACGCUGCCGCAACCACUUUCUUGCUAGGAAGAGGAAAGAAAGGAUUCUUCCCUAGCGUCUUUAGAGGGGAGACAGCUCUGCCAACACCUUAAUUUUGAACUUCUCAUUUCCAGAAUAGUGAAAAAAUUAAUUUAUGUUGUUUAAGCCAUUCAAUUUUUUGUUUGUUUUACUUUCAUUUACUUAAUCUAUUUAUUCAUACUACAUAGAUAAUUAUUUACUUUUUCUUUUUAUUAGUGAUGUCCUCUCACAAGAACUUAAGCUUCAGGAAAGCAAGGAUAUUUGUGUGUGUGUAUGUGAGUGUGUGUUUGUAUGUGUGUGUAUGUGUGUGUGUGGUUUAUUUCUAUACUCUCAGUGCCUAGAAUAGUGCCUGUCAUGUUAGAUGCUUAAUUAACGUUUUGAAAUGAAUGGAAGGACAGGUAGAUUACCUAUAUCAAAGCUCUUCAUAGAACAUUCAAUUCCAGAAGAUAAUGGAUAAAUAAGGGGAAAUAUGGGACCCAAUAAUUUUAUCCUCAGCCCAUUCAUGUAUAAAAGCAAUAGGAAAAGAUUGUUAGAUGUGAAUGAUCUCAGAAAAUAUAACAUGCAUGACCAUGUUUUGAAAACCUUCCUGAUAACAAAAUUUACCCAACUAAGAUGUGGUUCACAGUACAGAGCUUAAGAAUGUGGAAGCUGCUUUCUGAAAAAACUAAUAAAGUAAACAUUAAUUCCCUUCUAAUUAUGGCUAAGGCAAAAAAAAGAACUAUUAAUAUGGCUUUAAAUUUAUCAAAAAGAAUGCAAAUGUUAUAAAUUAUUAAGAAAAGCUGUACAAUAGAAAAAGCAAUAAGUAUUAUAAAUUUGGUCAGUAGUUUUAGAACAUAAUAGUAAAAAUCAGAAGGAACAAGAUUGUCCUGUGUUCGUAAUUUUUCACUCUGGGAGACUAAAUUUUGUUGCCAAAAAUCCUCUCAUACAACAUUGGUAGUAGUGAAAAUUUGUUAAAUCCUGUGAGAGGACAAUUUGGCAAUAUCCAUAAACUGUUAAAAUAUAUACGAAAAUUGAUUGCAAAAAUUAUUCUAGUUUUUCACACUGACGCUAAAUGCCCUACCACACAUACCUUGGAUUCAAGUUUGCUGGGGCCAAUGGAAUAGUAGCAAAAGACACAAGAGACUUGAAGAAACAUUUACAUGUUCCACCUCCUUUCCGUGGCCCUCAGUCUCACCAUGAAAACAUGCCCAGGAUGGGCUUCUAGGAGAAAUCCUGAGGCUUUCUAGGCCAGCCAACAGUUAGUCAACCCCCAAAUGUAUGGGAGAACCCAGCUAAGAUCAGCAGCAACACCUAGCCAACCCACAGCUUACUUACAGCAGACAUGUGAAUCAAUCUAGCCAAGACUAAAAGAAUCACUAAACCAAUAUGUCAUCCUAUGAAUAAUAGUAAACGUUUGUCUUAAACUAUCAUAUUAUAGGAAAAAAACCUGAUAUAUGAAAUUACCCUGUGAGUUUAUAUUAAAGAUACACUUACCUUCUCCAACAAGAGUUGUAACAAUUUUUUUCUUAUUGCAAACAAUGCUAUGGGGAUACUUAUAGUAGCAUUUCUGCUCAACGUAAUAUUUUAUUGUAGCACUGUUUGCAAUAAGAAAAUAAUUGGAAACUGCAGAAACGAUCACUAAUGAGGUAUGGGUUAAAAAUCUUUUAAGUUGAAAGCAACAAAUGUGACAAUUAAAAGGCAUAAAUUAGACAUAUAUUUUACAUUAUCACAACUUGUAUUACUAAAUGAUAAAAAUGAGUUGCAAAAUAAUAUAUAGAACUUUAUAUUUUAUAAAUAUGCACAUGAAAAAAUGUUUGUAAGUAUGCACAAACUGUUAACAGUUAUUACUUCAGAGGAGUGAAAAAUAGGUUGAAAAUGAGAAUGACUUUCAUUUUUAGUAUACUUAAGUACAUUUUCAAUUUUCAAUUAUAUGCAGUGAUUUUGUCCUUUAAAAAAUAGGAUGGACUUUUUUAAAUAUAAGGAAGACAUUUUCUGUGAAACAAUAAAUUACUCAGUAUAUACUUAAUGUGCAUGAAGUAUGAGGUAGGAAUACAUCCACUGACAUUCUUGCAUUUGCAUACCACUUCCCCAAAUAUGAACUCACUUCUCUGACUUUGCUAGGGCUGAGGAAUCAUCAUUACAAUAUCUGUAAAACUGGAUUUAUUAAGUGCAUCCAUAUUGUUUAUGAGUCAUAGAAAAUAUGUUCAUUUUCCUAUCCAUGUUAAAGGCUGCUUGGAGGAUUGACGGAGCAUUGCUUAGAAAAUGUUCUGGAAUUCAGAUGAAGCUGUGUUAGUAUAAAUCAUUACUGGUUACCAUAUACUCACACAUACUUAGGGGAUAAAGAUCAGAAAUUACUUAAAUGUACUUUGUCUUCUUCAAUCUUUCCGUAGCAGCACAUGGGUCAAAAUCUCCUGAAAGUUGAGCAGGGGAGCUGUAGAAGAAUUCCUCCUUUUCUCGCAGAUGAAAUCUUAUGAUAUAGCAGGGGUUACCUGGCCAAGAAGGUAAGUCUGUCAUCCAGCAGUGCUUGCAGAGGGACUAAAAUGAAUUAGGAUGUUCAGAGUUGUAUGUUAGGUGCUGCAGAAAGGAAGAAAAGAUCUCAUCCAUAAAGGGGUCUUUGACCCUGGGGAAUGGCAGUUGGCAAUUACGCUGCUUCUCAGUUCCAUCCUGUGUUGCCCCAGGUUUACUUCAUGGUCACCCAAACUUUCUUUGCCAUGUCUUUUGUAAGACUUCUACUUAUUACUAUGUAUCAUCAUCUUUUGGUAAAUAUAAAUUCUGGCUAGGAGAACUAGGACAGACAGGGGAGCUGUCUGCACACUGUGAUUAGGCAUGCAUCAAUUCAGAGCUCCAUGCUGCUAGCUCCUGUAUUCUGCUGAGCUCCCAGGGAGGAAAUAGGAAAAGGGAGGAGAACUCACCUGUCCAAUUACAACCUACUCUGCAGUACAAAGUACUGCAAAUUCCACACAGUGGAUCUCUGUGAUUGAAGGAGCACUUGUAAAAUCUGAGACAUCCUAGUUUUUGAUUUGGUAUCCAAAACAAAUCUGAACUUUUAAUUAAAUAUUGUUCUUUUUCCUUCUUGUUUCCAAAUGAAUAGUUACACCAGCAAACUUAUUGGCUGAAAAGUUGUUUCCUACAUUUGCACUUUGAAGUGCAUCAGACAGUGGUGUGUUUGGAUGUGGGUCUUGUUGAGUUUGGUUAGUGAGUUAUUAUUGGUUGGGAUUGCAGUGGUCCUGCCAAUGGAAGAGAAGUAGGUGUGCCGAGUACUGUCAUGUUCACCUCCGCCUUUCACAGAGGCAUAUUUAGCCCUCAGUUGGUAAGUGAACUUUUUGACAAAGGUUUAAGAGGUCGUAGAGUCUGUGUAAAAGACAAAAGUCCAAAAGUGAAGCAGAAGGAAUCCAGCUUCUUAUUUAUGUCUGGCAUGGGAAGCUUCUGGAUUUGAUAGUGGGUGCACCGAAAUUUGCAUCCCAAGUCAUAGCCUUUGCUCUGCCCUACCUUCUGGUAUGUUGUUUUUCAAGUUACUUAACCUCUCAGGGCUGCAACUUACUUAUUUGAAAAAUGAAUUCUAGAAUCACAGAGUUGGAUACAAUCUUAAGGGCCAAUUAGUCAAACUUUCUUUCCAGAGGUAUUCUGCAUGAUCUGAAAUGUGUCUCUGAACUAUAGCUUCCUGAAAUUUCAUUAUUCUUGUAGGAACACAGAGGAGAACAAAGAAAAUUCAAGGAACUAAAUUCCUUCUCCACCUCAACCACCAGCAUUGAUACUCCAUCACUUAUGUACUGCAUCAAGCCGUCCUCAGAGGUGAGGAAGGUGCUGUCAAGACUAGAAGCAUGUGUCCCUCUCUCCAUUGCAAGAUGGGACAUAGAGAGGAGAAAAGUGGCAGACAGAAGGUUGGUAGAAAGCAGGUGUCACCAUACUGCUGUACACACAAACUGUUAGGCCUAGAUUUUGCUUUCUCCUUCUUGCUUUAAGCCUCUAUCUAGUUUCCCAAAUCCUGCUGCUUUUGCGUCAAUGGUAGGAAAAUAUUAGCCAUGAUAACCCUUCAAACACCCUUAUAAGGCUGUGAAUUGAAUGUACCAAGGGAGGUAACUUUAUUGGAGUUGUCUCUGAUAAGGGACAACUCCAAUAAAAUUAAGUAAAAAUAUUAAGAUUAUUGUUGAUCUUGAGCCAAGAAAAUGCAGGGGAAACAAUGGAAAAAUACCUUUAAAUAAUGAAAACAAAAAUAAAAUAAGAGCUGGUCUACUCACUACUUCAUCCCAUCUCGUCUGUAAAAUAAUACCAUCAGAAAAGUGUUCAAAAUUCUCUGUAGUCAAGGACUUCUCCUGCUGGUUAGAAUGCAAAAUAAUAUGAAAGACUUUUGAUCCUCUAGUAAUAUACAAGUGUAUAUAUAUUUUUUGAGACAGGGUCUUGCUUUGUUGUCUAAACUGGAAUGCAGUGGUAUGAUAUUGUCUCACUGCAGUCUCUGCCUCCUAGGCUCAAGCAAUCCUCCUGCCUCAGCCUCCCAAGUAGCUGGCACUAUAGGCAUAUGCCACCAUGCCUGGCUAAUUUUUUUAUUUUUUUGUAAAAACAGAGUUUUGCCAUGUUGCCCAGGCUGGUCUUGAGUUCCUGGGCUCAUGUGAUCCACCUGCCUUGGUCUCCCAAAGUGCUGGGAUUACAAGCAUGAGCCAGCACACUCAGCCUACAUUUUUCAAUAUGCAUGAAAUUAUAUGGUUUGGAUGUGCUCAUUUUACUAUAUUAAAGUAUAUUUCAAUAAAAAGCCAGUAGGCAUGAAAACAUAAUAUUCUUUCAUUUUUGUCUUCAUCUGAAGUUUCAAGUUAAAAAGCAGGUUAUUCAGUAAAAGAAAAUUGCAAUGUUCUUCUCCAGUGCCAAUUAACCAAUCUCCUCAGACAGAAAUAUCUUCAGAUGGUGCUAAUGCAAAUCUCAAUUUAAAAUCAUUUUAGAAGACUGAGACCAUGCCCACAAAUGCUUCAGAAUGGGAGGUGCCAAGACUUUCAAUCACACAAAACCCUGGCACUUACUUUGUUGUGUUAUAAUCCAGUCUUUCUGCACCUAAGCUUCCUUCAUAAAAGACAAUCCAGCAUCAUGGUUAAAACACAGACUUUCUACCACUACUACUUACAUUCUUGGUGACAGUGGGCAAUUUAGCAGACUUCUCUGUGUUUUAGUUUCCUCAACUUUAAAAUGGGCACUGUUAUAGGUAUAAUUGUGUCCUACAAAAAGAUGUUGAAGUCCUAACCUCCAAUACAUGUGAAUAUGACCUUAUUUAGAAAUAGAGUCUUUACAGAUGAUCAAUUUAAGAUGCGGUCAUUAGGGCAGGUCCUAAUCCAAUAUGACUAGUGUCCUUAUAAUAAGGGAAAUUUGGACUCCAGAGAUAGAUAUAUACCAAUGAGAGACAAUGUGACACAGGGACCACACCUACAAAUCAAGGAACAUCUGAGGCUACCAGAAGUUAGGAGAGAGGUCCAGAACAGUGCCACAUAGCCCUCAGAAGGAAUCAACUCUACCAGCACCUUGAUUUUGGGCUUUUAGCCUCCAGAACUGUGAGGCAAUAAAUUUCCGUUCUUUAAGCCACCCAGUUGUUGGUACUUUAUUAUGGCAGCCCUAGGAAAUUAACAUAGGGAAUGAUAUGGUUUGGCUGUGUCCCCACCCAAAUCUCAUCUUGAAUUAUAGCUCCCAUAAUUCCCACAUGUUGUGCGAGGGACCCAGUAGGAGAAAAUUGAAUCAUGGGGGCAGUUUCCCCCAUACUGUUCUCGUGGUAGUGAAUAAGUCUCACAAGGUCUGAUGGUUUUAUAAGGGGAAACACCUUUGGCUUAGCUCUCUGAUUCUCUCUUGCUGCCUCCAUGUAAGAAAUGUCUUUCACCUUCCACCAUGAUUGUAAGGUCUCCCCAGCCACCUGGAACUGAGUCCAUUAAACAUAUUUUUCUUCCCAGUCUUAGGUAUGUCUUUAUCAGCAGCAUGAAAAUGGACUAAUACAGGGACCAAUGAUUGCAUCUACCUCAUGGACUUUUUAUGAGAAUUGACUGAUUUAAUAAAUGUAAAAGACUUAGAACACUGCCUCAUCUAUUGUAAACAGUCAAUAAAUAUUAGUAUCAAUUUUCAUUGAAUCCUAAUCAGUAUAACUAUAAUGUUACAUUCAUGAAUAAGACAAAGGCUGGGACAAAAUAAAUGAGACACUUCACUCAGACCUCUUCAUUGUUUUCCCAGUUGUCAUCCUUUGCACCUAGUUCUGUAAUUAAGAGAGUCUUCUCAGCUUUUUCUUAAAUCAUGUAUUUUCCUCUAGUAUGGCAACUUUAUAAUAUGUUUCCCCCACUUGAAAAUGUUUCCUCCUUUUUCCCACAGUCCAAUCCCCCCAUUAACCCAACCAUCUCUCACAUACAUACCAAUUUUAGGUCCCAAAUCUCUCAGAUCUCACCCUAUUCACAAACCAAAACUUUAUCAGAAAGAUCUAAAACACUUCCCCCAAAGGCAUUUUUAAUCACCAAUAAGGUGUUCUCACUUUCAAGGAUAGUAUAAUGUGAAUGGACAUCAAAGUCUUAAGAUCAAGAAUAUACUCUACUAUUAAAGAGUUCUAACCAUAAGCUAGUGGUUAAUACAGUUUUAGAGGGAAGAGGAUAAGGAAAGCAGACAUUGUCUUUCCUCUUUCCUAAACUUUUCCCAGGUCUAGAUCUACCUCCUAUCAAUUUUGCUACUUUGGUAAACAAACUCUUGGCAUAAAUUCUACCAAAGCACACUUUGGUCUUUAACUUUCAUAGUAGAAGGGAUAGAACAAGUAUCUCUCACCUAACAGAAAUCCACUUAAUGGAAUUUAAAAUCAAAGAAUGUGAUUGAUCCACCAAUUAUUUAAAUACCAACUUGAGUAUACUGAAUGUAAACUUCCAGUGCUGCCAUGUGGACUCUGCCAUCUUGUCCCUACUGCAUGCAGGUCCCUUAUCUAUCAAUGGCUUAGAAAUGACCAAACUCUUAACAAUCAGAACUUUGCAAAUCUUAAAUAAAAACUGUUUUACAAACACCCCAAGACACAUUACAAAUCAAGAAAACUGAAAAUCAUUUUAUAGAAUGCAUAACCCUCAUGGUCCCAGCAGAAAACAGGUGGCAUGCUAAAAUUGGGCAAUUUAAGGAGGAUUUAAUUAAAGAACUAUUUGUAAAGAUGUGGGCAAGAUAUAUGGGAAACAUGAAGGAUGAUGCAGAGCCAGGGGUUAGUAACUAUGAAGUGCUUCUACCACCUGUAGCCUGAGGGGCAAGGUAAGAGAAUGUUUAUCAGAAACCAGAUGGAGAGAAUUGUGUAGACAGGAUUCCCUUACCGACACUAUGAUCUUCAGCCAGGAUGCAACAAGCUCCUGGAAACUCCAAAGGUAAGAUAAACAUCCUGACCUCUGUCUCCUCCCUACUCACUAUGAAGUAUAUCCCGUAGGCUAAUCUCAACUGGAAACCAGAAGGCUAGAAAUCUUACUGAUGUGAUGUCCAGGGAUACAGAGCAUAUGAAGGAUGCAGAGAGUGGGUCAAAUGGAAGGAAUGUAGCAAAACAUGUAAACUUGGUUCUCUUGAUGACUAUUACGAAG
This 12867-nucleotide long non-coding RNA is filed under the name Homo sapiens (human). RNAcentral describes it as "HSALNT0078636". The record is from RNAcentral. Lineage: Eukaryota; Metazoa; Chordata; Mammalia; Primates; Hominidae.